GCUUACGGACAUACCACCCUGUCUGCGCCCGAUCUUGUCUGAUCUCAGAAGCUAAGCAGGGUCGGGCCUGGUUAGUGCUUGGAUGGGAGACCGCCUGGGAUGACCAGGUGCUUUAACGU
RNAcentral lists this ribosomal RNA (119 nucleotides) under Sinocyclocheilus grahami. Lineage: Eukaryota; Metazoa; Chordata; Actinopteri; Cypriniformes; Cyprinidae. The record is from RNAcentral.